This 603-nucleotide ribosomal RNA is filed under the name uncultured bacterium. RNAcentral's name for it is "bacterial SSU rRNA". It matches the Rfam family "Bacterial small subunit ribosomal RNA", at positions 43 to 692 of the family's 1533-position model. The record is from RNAcentral.
CAGGCUUAACACAUGCAAGUCGAGCGCUCCCGCAAGGGGAGCGGCAGACGGGAGAGUAACACGUGGGAACGUGCCUUUUGGUUCGGAGCAACUCAGGGAAACUUGGGCUAAUACCGGAUAAGCCCUUACGGGGAAAGAUUUAUCGCCAAAAGAUCGGCCCGCGUCUGAUUAGCUUGUUGGUGAGGUAAUGGCUCACCAAGGCUACGAUCAGUAGCUGGUCUGAGAGGAUGAUCAGCCUCACUGGGACUGAGACACGGCCCAGACUCCUACGGGAGGCAGCAGUGGGGAAUAUUGGACAAUGGGCGAAAGCCUGAUCCAGCCAUGCCGCGUGAGUGAUGAAGGCCUUAGGGUUGUAAAGCUCUUUCGACGGGGAAGAUAAUGACGGUACCCGUAGAAGAAGCCCCGGCUAACUUCGUGCCAGCAGCCGCGGUAAUACGAAGGGGGCUAGCGUUGCUCGGAAUCACUGGGCGUAAAGCGCACGUAGGCGGACUCUUAAGUCAGGGGUGAAAUCCUGGAGCUCAACUCCCAGAACUGCCCUUGAUACUGGGAGCCUUGAGUCCGGAAGAGGUAAGUGGAACUGCGAGUGUAGAGGUGAAAUUCGUA